RNAcentral lists this ribosomal RNA (426 nucleotides) under uncultured bacterium. RNAcentral's name for it is "partial 16S ribosomal RNA". It matches the Rfam family "Bacterial small subunit ribosomal RNA", at positions 354 to 796 of the family's 1533-position model. The record is from RNAcentral.
GUGAGGAAUUUUCCGCAAUGGGCGAAAGCCUGACGGAGCAAUGCCGCGUGAAGGAUGAAGGCCUAUGGGUUGUAAACUUCUUUUCUUAGAGAAGAAUAUUGACGGUAUCUGAGGAAUAAGGAUCGGCUAACUCCGUGCCAGCAGCCGCGGUAAUACGGAGGAUCCAAGCGUUGUCCGGAUUUAUUGGGUUUAAAGGGUGCGUAGGCGGAUCUUUAAGUCAGUGGUGAAAGCCUGCAGCUUAACUGUAGAAUUGCCAUUGAAACUGAAGAUCUUGAAUGUGGUUAAAGUAGGCGGAAUGUAUCAUGUAGCGGUGAAAUGCUUAGAUAUGAUACAGAACACCGAUAGCGAAGGCAGCUUGCUGAACCAUUAUUGACGCUGAGGCACGAAAGCGUGGGGAGCGAACAGGAUUAGAUACCCGGGUAGUCC